Molecule: transfer RNA, 72 nt
Filed under: Spirochaetia bacterium
Lineage: Bacteria; Pseudomonadati; Spirochaetota; Spirochaetia
Description: tRNA-Pro
Rfam family: tRNA
About the family: Transfer RNA (tRNA) molecules are approximately 80 nucleotides in length. Their secondary structure includes four short double-helical elements and three loops (D, anti-codon, and T loops).
Source: RNAcentral
CGGGAUGUAGCGCAGUGGUAGCGCAUCAGUUUUGGGAACUGAGGGUCGCUGGUUCAAGUCCAGUCAUCCCGA